This is an RNA transcript of Arachis stenosperma, 1895 nucleotides long. It is a transcript of the gene named multicystatin-like, with no coding region annotated. The record is from RefSeq and is a predicted model, not a curated record. NCBI's taxonomy places the organism in Eukaryota, Viridiplantae, Streptophyta, Magnoliopsida, Fabales, Fabaceae. The transcript has 6 exons.
AAAAAUAAAAACCCUACCCCUAACCCCAAUUCAACAGAAUCAGAAUGCGAUCAAAACCAGCAUCAUCGACCUCUCUGUUCAUACGUUCCGGUGAGUCAAAUUGACCGUUAGAGAGAGAGAUGGCUAGUGCUGGAGAAAAAAGAGGUAGGGAUGAUGUGGAUGAUAAACUGAAUAACACGGUGGGAGUAACUUCUGUAUAUGAAGGAACUCACUGAUGAAGAACUUUCUGAGUAUUAUAGCCGGUCCUUCAGCAGCAAUGAUUCGAUGUUCCCGACUUUGGAUGUGCAUUACCUGGCGGAAUUAGACCCAUUAAGUUGGGUAAAAGAUAUGAUGAACUCGUGAGCGAUUUUGCUAAGCAAGCCUUACAAGUCUACAAUAAUCAAAAUAAUGCGAAUUUUGAGUUUGAUCAUCUUGUCAAGGCUAAUUGCCAAGCUGUUUCCGGCAUUAUGUAUUACAUUACUUUUACUGCACGCUCAGGGGAUAAUGCGCCUCAAACCUUUUGGGGCAAAGUAUGGCAAAAAGUAAUGAAUAAGGGAACAGAAGUUAAGUUUUGUGUGAUGGCAACUGUUAAGCAGGAAGCUGGUACAUAUCAGGUGUAAGUCGCGGGACGAGUCUAGGGCCCUGUUCUAGUUGUGUUUGAUGGGUCCUUCCUUCAGGAAGGAAAACUCUCUAAUACUUAUGAAAGAGUCUAAGUCCCUGUUCUAGUUGUGUUUUAUGGUUCGCUCCUUCAAGAAGGAAAAAACUGAUGCUAUUAUAUAAUUUUAAUACUGAUGAAAUAGAGUCUAGGUCAUGUUCUAGUUGUUUUUUAUGGUUUGCUCUUUCAAGAACGAAAACAAUCUAAAGAUGCCAUUAUAUAAUUUUAAUACUUAUGAAAGAGAUUAUAGGUCCCUUAUCAUGUGUUUUAUACUUUCGAUAUGUUGAUCUUUACUAUAUUGUCCCAAAGAAAAACAAGGUUGGACCCUUUAUAAACCUGUUUAGAGCUCUAAUUAUACAUAGGUUUUCAAAUCCACGACAGUUUUAACAAGUAAAUCCCCAUAAUGGUCCCUGAGAUUCAGGUCGUUACCCCAAUGUGGUCUCUAAGAUCCCAAUUGCACCAUUGUAGUCCCCCAGAUACGGUUCCUAGCACCAUAAUAGUCCCUGGUCAUCUUUCCGGUGAUGAGUCAUCACCGAAGCGCAGACAUGUCACGAGUUUGCCACGUUGGAGGGAACCAAAACAUUGCUGUUUUGGUUUGGCGCCCCAUUUUGUAAAAAAUGUCGUCGUUGUAGGCAAAAUAAGAAUGUUAAACGAUUUUGAUCAAACGCUCUCCUCACUCGUCUUCUCCACUUCCACCCUCCUCCGUUUUCUUCUUCUUCCUCCUCUCUUCAUCAAUGUUGCUGCCGUAGGGUUCCAUCGGUGAGGUUGAAAUUCUUGCAUUCGGAAGACAUCAAAAUCAGGUCUCACUUCGUCGUUCGUCUCCUCCUCCAUCAUAAGCAAGAGGUUCUGCCGUUAGUGAAGAAUCGUGGAAUAAAAAGGCCUUUAAAAUUGUCACCAAGGAGAAGAUCCUCUCCACUAGCAACCUCUGGCCCGGUGAAUUCCAUGCAGGGUGUUAGUUCAGGAACUGUAACAAGACUUGCCAAUUACAUGAAGUUCAUCCCAACUCUAAGAUUUAAGAUUCCAAGAAAGAAGAAUUGAAGACUUUAACGUAAUAUGUAUAGGACUUUCUAUUUUGGGUUUCAAACUUUUUACUAUACAAUGACUACACAAGGAUAUAUGAUCCUUUAUGUUUUGCUGUGAACCCUCUCUUUUGAGACAACUAUAUUUACCAUGUUCAUGUUAGUUGACUGCCUUUUGUGUUUUAUGAAUGACUGAUUUAAGUUGAACCAUUAUCUUAAUACACUUAUGUUUUAAGUUUGAA